AACGAACGCUGGCGGCAGGCUUAACACAUGCAAGUCGAACGCGUGUAGCAAUACACGAGUGGCGCACGGGUGAGUAACGCGUGGAUAUCUGCCUUUUGGUUCGGAAUAACUCCGGGAAACUGGAGCUAAUACCGGAUGGUUCCUACGGGAUAAAGAUUUAUCGCCAAAAGAUGAGUCCGCGUACGAUUAGCUAGUUGGUGAGGUAAUGGCUCACCAAGGCGACGAUCGUUAGCUGGUCUGAGAGGACGAUCAGCCACACUGGGGCUGAGACACGGCCCAGACUCCUACGGGAGGCAGCAGUGGGGAAUAUUGGACAAUGGGGGCAACCCUGAUCCAGCCAUGCCGCGUGAGUGACGAAGGCCUUCGGGUUGUAAAGGCUCUUUUGGCGGGGACGAUGAUGACGGUACCCGCAGAAUAAGCCCCGGCUAACUUCGUGCCAGCAGCCGCGGUAAU
This 453-nucleotide ribosomal RNA is filed under the name uncultured bacterium. RNAcentral describes it as "bacterial SSU rRNA". It matches the Rfam family "Bacterial small subunit ribosomal RNA", at positions 29 to 524 of the family's 1533-position model. The record is from RNAcentral.